Molecule: small nuclear RNA, 106 nt
Filed under: Myotis brandtii (Brandt's bat)
Lineage: Eukaryota; Metazoa; Chordata; Mammalia; Chiroptera; Vespertilionidae
Source: RNAcentral
GUGCUCACUUCAGCAGCACAUAUACUAAAAUUGGGAUGUACAGAGAAGAUUAGCAUGCUCUCUACACAAGAAUGACACACAAACUCGUGAAGCAUUAAAAAAAAUG